This 465-nucleotide ribosomal RNA is filed under the name Vreelandella stevensii. Its description in RNAcentral is "partial 16S ribosomal RNA". It matches the Rfam family "Bacterial small subunit ribosomal RNA", at positions 338 to 795 of the family's 1533-position model. Lineage: Bacteria; Pseudomonadati; Pseudomonadota; Gammaproteobacteria; Oceanospirillales; Halomonadaceae. The record is from RNAcentral.
CCUACGGGAGGCAGCAGUGGGGAAUAUUGGACAAUGGGGGCAACCCUGAUCCAGCCAUGCCGCGUGUGUGAAGAAGGCCCUCGGGUUGUAAAGCACUUUCAGUGAGGAAGAACGCCUGGUGGUUAAUACCCAUCAGGAAAGACAUCACUCACAGAAGAAGCACCGGCUAACUCCGUGCCAGCAGCCGCGGUAAUACGGAGGGUGCGAGCGUUAAUCGGAAUUACUGGGCGUAAAGCGCGCGUAGGUGGCUUGAUAAGCCGGUUGUGAAAGCCCCGGGCUCAACCUGGGAACGGCAUCCGGAACUGUCAAGCUAGAGGGCAGGAGAGGAAGGUAGAAUUCCCGGUGUAGCGGUGAAAUGCGUAGAGAUCGGGAGGAAUACCAGUGGCGAAGGCGGCCUUCUGGACUGACACUGACACUGAGGUGCGAAAGCGUGGGUAGCAAACAGGAUUAGAUACCCGAGUAGUA